Molecule: small nuclear RNA, 161 nt
Organism: Echinops telfairi (small Madagascar hedgehog)
Lineage: Eukaryota; Metazoa; Chordata; Mammalia; Afrosoricida; Tenrecidae
Product: U1 spliceosomal RNA
Exons: 1
Source: RefSeq, a predicted model, not a curated record
AUACUUAACUGGCAGGGGAGAUACCAUGAUCACGAAGGUGGUUUUCCCAGGGCGAGGCUUAUCCAUUGCACACCGUUUGUACUGACCCCGGCAAUUUCCCCAAAUUUGGGAAACUCAACUGCAUAAUUUGUAGUAGGGGACUGCAUUCACUCUCUCCCCUG